RNAcentral lists this unclassified non-coding RNA (380 nucleotides) under Hevea brasiliensis (rubber tree). Lineage: Eukaryota; Viridiplantae; Streptophyta; Magnoliopsida; Malpighiales; Euphorbiaceae. The record is from RNAcentral.
UAUGCAGAGCAACAGUUUAAUGCAUUUGAAAUGGUGAUUGAAUUGGGAUUAGCAGUGGAAAUUAAAAUGGAUUAUAGGAAUGACAGUGGAAUAAUUGUGAAUUGCGAUGAAAUAGAGAGAGGUAUAAAAUGUUUGAUGGAGCAUGAUAGUGAGAAAAGAAAGAAGGUGAAGGAGAUGAGUGAGAAGAGCAGAAUGGCAUUAAUGGAAGGUGGAUCUUCGUGCUCUUGGUUAGAAAGUCUAAUAAAAGAUGUGAUGAAUAAUUUAGCAUAAAAUAAUUAUAAUAAAGUUAUUAUUUUUAAAUUUAAUGAAAGUCUGAGUAAUAAUUGAUAGGUUAUAUAAUAAGAUGUAUUCAUUUUCUCAUAAAAUAAGUAGUUGAGGAG